CGGCAGAUGCCCGGCCCCGGCGGGCAGCGUGGCCUGCGGCCCUGGCCUCCGCUGCAGCGCUCGCCUGGCCCGGAGGCAAUGUGGACAUUGAGCAGCUGGAUCCCCGCGGCCGGACUCCCCUGCACCUGGCCACCACGCUGGGGCACCUUGAGUGUGCCCGUGUGCUCCUGGCGCACGGCGCAGACGUGGGCAGGGAGAAUCGCAGCGGCUGGACAGGUGGGCAGCCCUGCUCACCCCAGCCCCACAGCCGGGGCCUCCCCAGCAUCAUAGACCUAUGGUUGGCUGAAGGGUCCUGCCCUGUGACCUUGCCUCCCCCUCCCCCAGUGCUCCAGGAGGCUGCCCAGGACUUCUACGUGGAGAUGAAAUGGGAGUUCACUAGCUGGGUGCCCCUGGUGUCCAAGAUCUGCCCUAGUGACACCUACAAAGUGUGGAAGAGCGGCCAGAACCUGAGGGUAGACACCACACUCCUGGGCUUUGACCACAUGACCUGGCAGCGAGGGAACCGCAGCUUUGUCUUCAGGGGCCAAGACACAAGCGCCGUGGUCAUGGAGAUUGACCACGACCGCCGGGUGGUGUACACAGAGACUCUGGCACUGGCUGGGCAGGACCGGGAGCUGCUGCUGGCUGCUGCUCAGCCCACUGAGGAACAGGUGCUGAGCCGGCUUACCGCGCCCGUCGUCACCACUCAGCUUGACACCAAGAAUAUCUCCUUUGAGAGGUGGGUGGACAUGGCCUUGGUCACCCUUGAGCCAGCCCGGUGGGGUGCCUGCCUCACCUGGACCACUCUGCUUCCCCAGGAACAAGACUGGCAUCCUGGGCUGGCGCAGUGAAAAGACGGAGAUGGUGAAUGGGUAUGAAGCUAAGGUGUAUGGGGCAUCUAACGUGGAGCUCAUCACCCGCACACGGACAGAACAUCUUUCAGAACAGCACAAGGGCAAGGUCAAAGGCUGUAAGACACCUUUGCAGUCCUUCCUGGGAAUCGCUGAGCAGCACGGGGGCCCCCAAAAUGGGACCCUGAUCACUCAGACUCUGAGCCAAGCCAACCCCACUGCCAUCACUGCAGAAGAAUACUUCAACCCCAACUUUGAGCUGGGCAACCGUGAUAUGGGCCGCCCCAUGGAACUGACCACCAAGACACAGAAGUUCAAGGCCAAGCUGUGGCUGUGUGAGGAGCAUCCCCUGUCCCUGUGUGAGCAGGUGGCCCCUAUCAUUGACCUCAUGGCCGUCAGCAAUGCGCUUUUUGCCAAGCUCCGGGACUUCAUCACCCUGCGUCUGCCUCCUGGCUUCCCAGUUAAGAUUGAAAUCCCGAUCUUCCACAUCCUCAACGCCCGCAUCACCUUCGGGAACCUCAACGGCUGCGACGAACCGGUGCCAUCGGUGCGAGGCAGCCCCAGCAGCGAGACGCCUUCCCCAGGCAGCGACUCCUCCAGCGUCAGCAGCUCCAGCUCCACGACCUCCUGCCGCGGCUGCGAGAUCUCCCCGGCGUUGUUCGAGGCCCCGCGCGGCUACAGCGUGAUGGGCGGCCAGCGGGAGGCGGCGACCCGGGACGACGACGACGACCUGCUGCAAUUCGCCAUCCAGCAGAGCCUGCUUGAGGCGGGCAGUGAGUAUGACCAGGUGCGUCUCCGCGGGCGCGCGGGGCCACGGGACUCCGCGCCGCCACGGCUAACGCCCACGCCUCCCCGCAGGUCACCAUCUGGGAGGCGCUAACCAACAGCAAGCCAGGCACCCACCCCAUGUCCUACGAGGGUCGCCGACAGGACAGGAGCGCCCCGCCCACGCCGCAGCGCCAGCCUGCGCCCCCGGCGUCAGUGCCCAGCCCUCGGCCCAGCUCAGGGCCAGGUUCCGGCGGCCACGUGUUCCGGAGCUACGACGAGCAGCUGCGGCUGGCGAUGGAACUGUCGGCGCAGGAGCAGGAGGAGAGGCGGCGGCGCGCGCGCCAGGAGGAGGAGGAGCUGGAGCGCAUCCUGAGGCUCUCACUGACCGAGCAGUAGCGCCCCCUGCCGGGACCCUCGCCAGCGCCACGCGCGCCACGCCCAGGGCCAGGAGCCAGACAAACCUCGGCCUGCGCGCCUGCAGAGCGGCGGCUGGAGACUGGAGCCACCGCCUCGCGGGUGCAGCAGCACAGCAGGCACGGUUCGGGGAGGGAUUCGGCAUGGCCGCGGGGUACCUUCCCAGGCCAGGGCCCUGGAGGCAACUGGCACGGCCUGGUCCCCCUGCUUUGCUGUAUUCUGAUUCCCCAACCCGCUCCCCUGGGCUCAGAUCUGUCCUGUCCUAGGGCGGAGCCAGGCGGUCCUGAGGGGGAGAUGAAUCCUUAGAGGAGCGCUGUCCCUAUCCCUUGCUCCUUCUGGCCGGUCCGCAUUUCUGUUCACUAACCCCACUCCAGGACACUGCCCCUGAAGCCUUUGCAUCUCUGCUCUUCACUCCUGGGGGGCAGCUGAGCUCCCCGCGUGCUGUGUCACUGCUUUGUUCCAGACACAAACCAGCACGUCUAGGGCCCAGCCCCUCCCCCACCCCGGCAUUUCAGCGUCAAGUGCACUUAGCGGGGUACCCGGCUCCCCCAGCCCCCACACCCGUCCUGGGUCUCAGGGUGGUUCCAGCUUCUCCUUGGGCAGCCAGAAGUUGGAGUCCCAUCCCCCAAGGCACUUUUUUUUUUUUUUUUUUUUUUUUUUUUUUUUUUUUGUGAUCAGGGAGUGUGUCCAACGUAGCCCCCUGGCCUGUGCAAGCCCUGACUCCCUCAUGGUGCCUCGGAGAGUGGGGAGCAUAUUGGGCUGGGGUAAGCACUAGACCCGAGUAGACUGGACACAAAGGGCUCGCCCAGGGCCCAGGCGCCACCCCCACCCCUUCCCACCAGCUGCUGCUAGCCUCUGUGGUUGUACAUCCCACUUGCCCCCACACGGAGACUGACUCUAAAACCCUUCAUCCAAUGGUGCUAACCCCCGGCUCUCCCCUGCCCCACCUCACCCACCCAGAGAAGCACAGACCCCGCCAGGGGCAGGGGCCCACCGCACACCCUCGUCCCGGGCCUGUCUGGGACUGGCCUUCCCGGCUCAGCCAGUGAGGCUCAGAAGGGACACAAAGAGGGAUGGAAGAAAAGAACAAAGAGAAACUGUUCCUCCCACCCCCUUCCCUGAUGCCAGGGGCACCAGACUGAUUCUGAGGCACAAAUAAAAGAGGCUUCAUACCGGA
This 3189-nucleotide small RNA is filed under the name Pan troglodytes (chimpanzee). RNAcentral's name for it is "retained intron". Lineage: Eukaryota; Metazoa; Chordata; Mammalia; Primates; Hominidae. The record is from RNAcentral.